Molecule: non-coding RNA, 2830 nt
Organism: Benincasa hispida (wax gourd)
Lineage: Eukaryota; Viridiplantae; Streptophyta; Magnoliopsida; Cucurbitales; Cucurbitaceae
Source: RefSeq, a predicted model, not a curated record
UUUGUUUUGAAGCUCCAACUAAAAGAAACGGUUAUGGUACUAAAUCUCGCCUACACCAACUCCCCAUUCUCCGUCGCCGGCGGACGGUUACUGUUACGGUGACUGAUCCCAUUGCAUAAAUUCUCUCCUAAUUAUCGCCAUUAAUUCUCCGAAACCCACUCUCACUCAACAUCUUUCUCUCUCUUUUUCCACUUAUUAUUGUUGUAGAUUCUUCCUUUUUCUUUCUUCUUAUAGCUGGCGUUGGAACAUCAUCGCUCUUGUUCAUGACGGAAUCUUUGAAAUUUUGUUAGGGUUUCUGGAAUGGGCGGUGAGUUCGUCUCUGAAUUUCAGCAAUGGUAGCUGCUGUAUCAACGACGCUAAACCCCAAGACUGCCCCCCAGAAAGGGCCUCAUCUUCAUCCUACACGACAGAAUUCGAAUAGACUUCCGUUAUUUCCAUCGGAGUCCGACAAUGCAAUUGAUCCCCGCAAGCCGAAAUCACGAGAGGUCACUUCUCGAUUUAUGCCUCCAUCCAAUUCCUCUGCCUCGGCCUUGCUUACGAAACGCUCUUCUUCUCCUUCAGUCUCUAGAACUUCCAGUUUAGCUCCAACGCCGACGCAGGCUGCUUCGUCCCUUAAUAAGCGUUCGGUAUCGGUGGACCGAAGAAGGGUUGGGAGUCCUAGGCCUUAUUCUCUUGAUUUCAGGACUGGCAAUGAUAAUGGUGGAGUGGGCGAGAUGCCUGCCUCUCAGAAGUUAUUGCUUACUUCUACAAGAAGCUUAUCUGUUUCAUUCCAGGGUGAGUCUUUCUCUUUGCAAGUUAGUAAGGCGAAGCCAGUUCCUUCACGAGGUGUGAGGAAGGGUACGCCUGAACGCAGGAAGUCGACGACGCCAGCGAGAGCAGGCGGUGUCGCGGAAAAAGCAGAGAACUCGAAGCUUAUUAUAGAUCAACAUAGAUGGCCCUCAAGGUUGCGGCAGGCUAAUUUGAUGAGCAGGAGUUUGGAUUGUGAGGACAUAGCCGAGAGGAAGAGGGUUAGUGGUGGAUCUGUGAAUGUCAUUAGGCAGUUGCAAGAUUCUAAGGCUCAGGGGAGGGGUUCCUUUGAUAGGGUUUUGAACUUGGAUUCUGUAAAUAGGGGAUUGGAGAAGGGGGAUGAACUCGAUAUGGACGCAAAUUCAGAAAACAUAUCUGAUCGUUCUAAUGUAGUUUCGUCUGAUUCUGAUAGCGUCUCUUCAGGUAGCAGUUCUGGAACUCAAGAGUACAGUCCUAACGAAGGACAAGGGCAGCGUGGACCUCGAGGGAUUGUAGUGCCGGCAAGAUUUUGGCAGGAGACAAACAACCGGUUGCGGCGCCAGCCGGAAAAUGGCUCGCCGUUGUCCAAAAAUAUCGGGGUAAGAAUUUUAGCUCCUUCCAAGCUUACCGUGCCAAAGAAGUUUCAAAUGGAUAGUCCUGCAUCAUCUCCACGGGAAGUUGUUAACAGUAGAGGCCAAUUGUCUCCCAUUCGCGGUUCACUUCGCCCUAUGUCACCAAGUAGGCUUUUAGCAUCGUCCACAGGACCUCGGUUGAGGAAUGCUGUGGGGAGUACCCCUCUUAAUAGUUUGAACAACAUUCCAUUAUCAAUGACAAGUUUUGUUGCCGAUGCUCGAAGGGGAAAGAUUGCGGAGAACCGAAUUGUAGAUGCACAUUCAUUGAGGCUCUUACAUAACCGGCUAUUGCAAUGGCGUUUUGUCAAUGCCCGAGCAGAUGCUGCUCAAUCCGGCCUCAGUUUGAAUGCAGAGAGAAGCCUUUAUAAUGCUUGGCUGAGUACCUCGAAGCUGCGUGAAUCUGUUAGAACAAAAAGAUCGGAGUUACAGUUACUCAAGCAAAAACUAACGUUAACCUCCAUCCUCAGCUGGCAAAUGUUGCAUUUGGAAGAAUGGGAUGAACUGGAUAAAAACUUUUCCAACAGUUUAUCAGGUGUUACUGAAGCUUUGAGGGCUAGUACCCUUCGCUUGCCAGUUGUUGGGGCAGCAAAGGCGGAUGUCCAAGGUAUUAAGGACGCAAUUUCUUCUGCCGUUGAUGUGCUGCAGACAAUGGCAUCAUCAAUUUUCUUUCUAUUAUCAAAGGUUGGAAAGGUAAACUCUCUUGUUUCUGAGCUUGCGAAUGUGAGUGCAAAGGAAUGUGCUUUGCUUGAGCGGGUAAAAUAUCUGUUGUCUGCAAUUGCUGUACUACAGGUGAAAGAGUGUAGUCUGCGAACGCAAAUUUUACAGCGGAGAUACGUACUUUCAACCUGACAACUUACACGUAAAAGCUGUUCACUGUCACAAAGCUAACCUUAUAGUAGAAGAUUAAACUCUUUGUUUUUUCCGGAGGCAAUAAGGACAUCUGGAUGCUUGUGGUUUUCUGAAGCAGAAGAGUGUCCACAUAUUUGAUUUGGCUUUUGUUUGUUUACAGGAAAAUUGAAAGAAGAAAGACGAAAAGGAAGAUGUGAACAAAGAUGGUGUGUGGCGUAUGGCUUUGGGCUGACAAGGAAGUGAAGGAGAUGGGCUUGGUUGGGCAAAUGGGAGGCCCCAUCUGAAGGAGAUUCCAUUGAUUCAAUUCAAGUACAUUGAUGACUCAGGUCUCCAUUCUUAGCCAAAUAAUUAUUCACACGCACGCAGAUAUAAUGGAAGAAUCUUUAGAUACCCUUAUGCCUUUAUCAUUUUUCAUCAUUCCGAUUUUGUCCUUCAUCACAACUAUUCGCGUUGAAGUGGUUACAGUCGAAGUGGUGUAUUCUUUAGUGUAUAACUGUGUUUUAGACCAUAAUGACAUAUCAUGUUCUAUAGGUACAUGUUUGAAUGAAAAAUUACAUCAAUUCUCCGUUACAACUAUUUAGGUC